RNAcentral lists this ribosomal RNA (427 nucleotides) under uncultured bacterium. RNAcentral describes it as "bacterial SSU rRNA". It matches the Rfam family "Bacterial small subunit ribosomal RNA", at positions 356 to 774 of the family's 1533-position model. The record is from RNAcentral.
GGGGAAUCUUCCGCAAUGGACGAAAGUCUGACGGAGCAACGCCGCGUGUAUGAUGAAGGUCUUCGGAUUGUAAAGUACUGUCAUUGGGGAAGAACGGUUUUCUUGAAAAGAUUGAGAAGACAUGACGGUACCCAAGGAGGAAGCCCCGGCUAACUACGUGCCAGCAGCCGCGGUAAUACGUAGGGGGCAAGCGUUGUCCGGAAUUAUUGGGCGUAAAGGGAGCGUAGGCGGACUUUUAAGUGAGAUGUGAAAUACCCGGGCUCAACCUGGGUGCUGCAUUUCAAACUGGAAGUCUAGAGUGCAGGAGAGGAGAGUGGAAUUCCUAGUGUAGCGGUGAAAUGCGUAGAGAUUAGGAAGAACACCAGUGGCGAAGGCGACUCUCUGGACUGUAACUGACGCUGAGGCUCGAAAGCGUGGGGAGCAAACA